AGAAUCAACGCUGGCGGCGUGCCUAACACAUGCAAGUCGAACGAGAAAGUGGAGCAAUCCAUGAGUAAAGUGGCGACCGGGUGAGUAACACGUGACUAACCUACCUUCGAGUGGGGGAUAACCUCGGGAAACCGAGGCUAAUACCGCAUAACAUCGCAAGAUCAAAGCAGUAAUGCGCUUGGGGAGGAGGUCGCGGCCGAUUAGCUAGUUGGCGGGGUAAUGGCCCACCAAGGCGAUGAUCGGUA
RNAcentral lists this ribosomal RNA (245 nucleotides) under uncultured bacterium. RNAcentral's name for it is "partial small subunit ribosomal RNA". It matches the Rfam family "Bacterial small subunit ribosomal RNA", at positions 26 to 285 of the family's 1533-position model. The record is from RNAcentral.